Molecule: transfer RNA, 72 nt
Filed under: Sus scrofa (pig)
Lineage: Eukaryota; Metazoa; Chordata; Mammalia; Artiodactyla; Suidae
Description: tRNA-Glu (TTC) (tRNA-Glu-TTC-35-1)
Rfam family: tRNA
About the family: Transfer RNA (tRNA) molecules are approximately 80 nucleotides in length. Their secondary structure includes four short double-helical elements and three loops (D, anti-codon, and T loops). Further hydrogen bonds mediate the characteristic L-shaped molecular structure. tRNAs have two regions of fundamental functional importance: the anti-codon, which is responsible for specific mRNA codon recognition, and the 3' end, to which the tRNAs corresponding amino acid is attached (by aminoacyl-tRNA synthetases). tRNAs cope with the degeneracy of the genetic code in two manners: having more than one tRNA (with a specific anti-codon) for a particular amino acid; and 'wobble' base-pairing, i.e. permitting non-standard base-pairing at the 3rd anti-codon position.
Source: Rfam by way of RNAcentral
UCCCUGGUGGUCUAGUGGUGAGGGCUCAGCACUUUCACUGCUGUGGCCCAGGUUCAAUCCCUGGUCUGGGAA